GUGAAUCAUCAAAUCUUUGAACGCAAAUUGCACUCUCCGGUUUUCCGGGAGAGUAUGCCUGUUUGAGGGUCAGCCUAAAAAAAAUCUACAUUGUUGCUGUUAUUUAAUGGUGACUUUCGUCGGAGAUUGGGUUAUCUUAAACCUUUUUUUUUUUUGUUUUAGCCGCUUUAAAUUUUUUUUUACGAUUUCAUUAACGUUUCUAAGAUUUUUUUUUUUUUUUCGUUUUAG
RNAcentral lists this unclassified non-coding RNA (228 nucleotides) under Glomeraceae sp. RNAcentral's name for it is "partial contains 5.8S ribosomal RNA and internal transcribed spacer 2". The stretch from base 1 to 72 matches the Rfam family "5.8S ribosomal RNA", at positions 84 to 154 of the family's 154-position model. The record is from RNAcentral. Lineage: Eukaryota; Fungi; Glomeromycota; Glomeromycetes; Glomerales; Glomeraceae.